GACUUAAUAUCAGAACGUGAAAUAUUGUUGAUGAAUUAAUUUUGAAUGUCAAUCAUUUAGUUGCCAUUUUCCAUUUUACAAAUAUGAUAAGUGUGAUAAAAACUUUUUAACAACAACAAGGUUAUAAGAUUUUACGCUUUGCAUAAUUAUUUCUACAUUGUGGCACAUACAUAUCACUGUUAGGGGAAUCUGGUAUAGCUCAUUCAAUUUUGAGAUGCACGUGAAUUUUUAACCAUCAACAUAACAUGUGCAUACAC
RNAcentral lists this long non-coding RNA (257 nucleotides) under Gossypium barbadense (sea-island cotton). RNAcentral describes it as "long non-coding RNA (GBAR_LNC002983)". The record is from RNAcentral. Lineage: Eukaryota; Viridiplantae; Streptophyta; Magnoliopsida; Malvales; Malvaceae.